UGGGGAAUAUUGGACAAUGGGCGGAAGCCUGAUCCAGCAACGCCGCGUGAGGGAUGACGGCCUUCGGGUUGUAAACCUCUUUCAGCACAGACGAAGCUGUUCUCACGUGUGGGGGUGGUGACGGUAUGUGCAGAAGAAGCACCGGCCAACUACGUGCCAGCAGCCGCGGUAAUACGUAGGGUGCGAGCGUUGUCCGGAAUUAUUGGGCGUAAAGGGCUCGUAGGCGGUUUGUCGCGUCGGGAGUGAAAUCCACUGGCUUAACUGGUGGCUUGCUUUCGAUACGGGCAGACUGGAGGUAUGCAGGGGAGAACGGAAUUCCUGGUGUAGCGGUGAAAUGCGCAGAUAUCAGGAGGAACACCGGUGGCGAAGGCGGUUCUCUGGGCAUGUCCUGACGCUGAGGAGCGAAAGUGUGGGGAGCGAACAG
Molecule: ribosomal RNA, 424 nt
Filed under: uncultured bacterium
Lineage: Bacteria
Description: bacterial SSU rRNA
Rfam family: Bacterial small subunit ribosomal RNA
Source: RNAcentral